RNAcentral lists this ribosomal RNA (460 nucleotides) under uncultured bacterium. RNAcentral's name for it is "partial 16S ribosomal RNA". It matches the Rfam family "Bacterial small subunit ribosomal RNA", at positions 338 to 795 of the family's 1533-position model. The record is from RNAcentral.
CCUACGGGAGGCAGCAGUGAGGAAUAUUGGUCAAUGGACGAGAGUCUGAACCAGCCAAGUAGCGUGAAGGAUGACUGCCCUAUUGGUUGUAAACUUCUUUUAUAUGGGAAUAAAAUGUUCCACGUGUGGGAUUUUGUAUGUACCAUAUGAAUAAGGAUCGGCUAACUCCGUGCCAGCAGCCGCGGUAAUACGGUGGGUCCGAGCGUUAUCCGGAUUUGGUGGGUUUAAAGGGAGCGUAGGUGGAUUGUUAAGUCAGUUGUGAAAGUUUGCGGCUCAACCGUAAAAUUGCAGUUGAAACUGGCAGUCUUGAGUACAGUAGAGGUGGGCGGAAUUCGUGGUGUAGCGGUGAAAUGCUUAGAUAUCACGAAGAACUCCGAUUGCGAAGGCAGUGCACUGGACUGCAACUGACACUGAGGCUCGAAAGUGUGGGUAGCAAACAGGAUUAGAUACCCGAGUAGUC